Molecule: ribosomal RNA, 497 nt
Filed under: uncultured bacterium
Lineage: Bacteria
Description: partial 16S ribosomal RNA
Rfam family: Bacterial small subunit ribosomal RNA
Source: RNAcentral
GAUGAACGCUGGCGGCGUGCCUAAUACAUGCAAGUCGAGCGAACGGACGAGAAGCUUGCUUCUCUGAUGUUAGCGGCGGACGGGUGAGUAACACGUGGAUAACCUACCUAUAAGACUGGGAUAACUUCGGGAAACCGGAGCUAAUACCGGAUAAUAUUUUGAACCGCAUGGUUCAAAAGUGAAAGACGGUCUUGCUGUCACUUAUAGAUGGAUCCGCGCUGCAUUAGCUAGUUGAUAAGGUAACGGCUUACCAAGGCAACGAUGCAUAGCCGACCUGAGAGGGUGAUCGGCCACACUGGAACUGAGACACGGUCCAGACUCCUACGGGAGGCAGCAGUAGGGAAUCUUCCGUAAUGGGCGAAAGCCUGACGGAGCAACGCCGCGUGAGUGAUGAAGGUCUUCGGAUCGUAAAACUCUGUUAUUAGGGAAGAACAUAUGUGUAAGUAACUGUGCACAUCUUGACGGUACCUAAUCAGAAAGCCACGGCUAACUACGUG